This 86-nucleotide transfer RNA is filed under the name Streptomyces hygroscopicus subsp. sporocinereus. RNAcentral's name for it is "tRNA-Arg". Lineage: Bacteria; Bacillati; Actinomycetota; Actinomycetes; Kitasatosporales; Streptomycetaceae. The record is from RNAcentral.
UGGGGCGCCUGGGCCGGAGGCGGCCUCGUCACGGAUGAGGUCGGCGAGCAGAUGAGCCGGUCGGGGAUCCUGGCCAUGCCCCCCGA